Molecule: ribosomal RNA, 305 nt
Filed under: uncultured bacterium
Lineage: Bacteria
Description: bacterial SSU rRNA
Rfam family: Bacterial small subunit ribosomal RNA
Source: RNAcentral
GCCUACGGGAGGCAGCAGUGGGGAAUAUUGGGCAAUGGGGGAAACCCUGACCCAGCGACGCCGCGUGAGGGAAGAAGGUUUUCGGAUUGUAAACCUCUGUCCUUGGUGACGAUAAUGACGGUAGCCAAGGAGGAAGCCACGGCUAACUACGUGCCAGCAGCCGCGGUAAUACGUAGGUGGCAAGCGUUAUCCGGAUUUACUGGGUGUAAAGGGCGAGUAGGCGGGAUUGCAAGUCAGAUGUGAAAACUAUGGGCUCAACCGAUAGAGUGCAUUUGAAACUGCAGUUCUUGAGUGAUGGAGAGGCA